Molecule: long non-coding RNA, 1756 nt
Organism: Gasterosteus aculeatus aculeatus (three-spined stickleback)
Lineage: Eukaryota; Metazoa; Chordata; Actinopteri; Perciformes; Gasterosteidae
Source: Ensembl
GAAACCCGGAGGGACGUCUCGCGGUGAUCGAUCACGCCGACAAAACAAUCAGCCGGGCUGAAGCCUUCCGGAUCGCCCAACUGUUUGUGUUGUUCCGAAUAAUCCCCGAAAUGCUUCAGCUCCCUGCCGACGGAGGCACCUCCUCCGCCCCUCCAUUCAUCACUCGCUGACCAUUUAGUGCGCGGCCGCUCCUUGAUUGAUCGUGUUUAUGGUCUGAACCCGCUGUGUGAUUGAUGAAGUCAAGUGUUUGUGCAACCCGACGCCGCUCGGGCUAAACACGCGGAAAGCCGGUGGUCCUGUUCCUGCAACACAAGGAGCCCUGAAUGUUACAUGAAAUCAGCAUCAAUUGGCUUUGGCUCGAUCUUCGGCCACCAGUGGCGGCGAAAGCACAAACGCAGCAUGGAACCUGCUAACUGGCUCGCCAGCCAGAGGCCGAUAAGCCUCCUGUGAGCAACAUCAGUAGCUGAGACGGUUGCAGAGAUCCGCCUGCCGCGUGUAAUGGAUUUCACGGACGCCGAUCGACCGCUUCGAGGGAAGAAAACGCUCGGUGCUGAAUGCUGCUGUAAUAAAGUUAUAACACUUACUUACACUCAUGCAAGAAACGUGUGAAGGAUGUUUCAGAGGCUGACUUAAUUAAGUAUUAGUUUAGUGUUUUUUACCCUCUUGGUGGCCUGUCUGCUGCAGACUGGUCAAAACGAGUCAUAUUUUUGAAAGGAAAAACCAAUAAGCACAAGGAAAGAACCCGUGAUGAAGCCUCCAUGUGUAAAGUCCCUGAACCAAUGAAAUUGCCUCAAGCGACGCGGCCGUGGCAGAAAAAAAGGUAGAAAUAAAACCAUGUGAUCAGUGCACUUGCUUCAAUUCGAUGGUAAUCUGCAGGAGAGAUGGAAAUGGAAUGAUCAUUACAGUGAUGAAUCCCCCCCCGCGGAGGGCUGCCCGGAGACGAGAUCUGCAACAAUGCAAGAAGAGGUAAAAAUGCGUCUCUUCGGGGCUUCGUGCUGCUUUCGCCACUGGCUGUUUGCUGUGGUUCAGUUCGACGCCAUUAAACAAAUCCACAGUAAUCACAAAUACGGAGCGCGGGACGCCGUUCUGUGCCGAGCCUCUAGUAAUGGACUAAAUGAGCCUCUGCGCUUGUUUGCGUGUUCCUAUCAGCUGGGGAUGUGAUUGUAAAUUAGAAGAACUUAGCUUGCCGCUCGCCCGCUGCUGACUUGGGAAUGGUAUUGGAUUACAGCGACUCUAAUAGUGUCCCCCUAAUGUCUCCCUUAGAAAGCCUCCUGGCCUCUCACCGACGGGGAACGUUUUCUUUUUAUACUUAAUCUAUAACGACAGCUGGAGGAAGAACCGCAGGCACAAAAGUGUCCGGUGGGUCAACAUGAGCGGCUUUGAUCCGACAGUAAUGGUUGUAUUUAAUGCGCACGGGUGGGCGGCGCAGUUCUCGUUUAUUUCACCAAAAACAAAGUUAAAGUCUGAAAAUCAACAGGUUUGGUCGACCUCAAGCAAAGAAUAAUACACAUUGUUGCCCUUUUGAUUCUGGAAGGGUUCAUAAUCAUUUGAAGGGUCUUUGGAAACGCAGGUGCGUCCUCUGCUGAACGUGAUGCAAACAGCUGGAAUGACUCUUUGAUUCAUGAAUAUUACGUUUGCUGCAGUUUUCUUUUCUAUUCAUUUCUAAUUCCUAAUGACAUCCACCCGAUCGAUGUUUUAUUGGCUUCAUCUCAUUAAAUUGCUAUAAUCCUGGUGCCAGCAUAUAAGAACAUUCAAC